RNAcentral lists this ribosomal RNA (276 nucleotides) under uncultured bacterium. RNAcentral's name for it is "partial 16S ribosomal RNA". It matches the Rfam family "Bacterial small subunit ribosomal RNA", at positions 44 to 334 of the family's 1533-position model. The record is from RNAcentral.
GUGCCUAACACAUGCAAGUCGAACGAGAAAGUGGAGCAAUCCAUGAGUACAGUGGCGUACGGGUGAGUAACACGUGACUAACCUACCCUCGAGUGGGGAAUAACUUCGGGAAACCGAGGCUAAUACCGCAUAACAUCUACGGAUCAAAUGCGCAAGCAGCUUGAGGAGGGGGUCGCGGCUGAUUAGCUAGUUGGCGGGGUAACGGCCCACCAAGGCAAUGAUCAGUAGCCGGCCUGAGAGGGCGCACGGCCACACUGGAACUGAAACACGGUCCAG